UAGAACUCAACUAAUUAUCAAUGCUCAACAUGAAGACUACUGAAUCAAUAAUUAUAAUCAUCUUCUUCCUUGUUUUUUCUCCAUGCUUUAACUUUGGUGACUCUUCACUUAAAGACUCCUUAUCACUAAAAGGGAAGGGGGUUGAUGUUCUAACUCAAGAAGAGAUUGGCAGCUCAUUUCGUCCAAUGAUGCAUCAUAGGAGACUCUUAGAAUAUUGUCCUUGGUGGUGCUGGCCACCAGUACUCUGCUGUAAAUCUAAUGUUGUUAAAAAAACCUUAGUUUGAGAUAGGUAUGUAGCUUGAUUACAUGCUUAUUGUUCUUGUUUAAUCUAAUGGGAACCUAUUGAUAAAUCUAUUGUUCUUGUUUAAUCUAAUGGGAACCUAUUGAUAAAUCUGUUGUUCUCUUUGUGUUGCAAAUCUUUUAUAAAAGUGUUUG
RNAcentral lists this long non-coding RNA (435 nucleotides) under Nicotiana benthamiana. RNAcentral's name for it is "long non-coding RNA (NBEN_LNC025331)". The record is from RNAcentral. Lineage: Eukaryota; Viridiplantae; Streptophyta; Magnoliopsida; Solanales; Solanaceae.